UAAUGCAUAGGAAUCUACCUAGUAGUAUGGGAUAGCCACUAGAAAUGGUGGGUAAUACUGUAUAAUCCCUGCGGGGGAAAGAUUUAUCGCUAUUAGAUGAGCCUAUGUUAGAUUAGCUAGUUGGUAGGGUAAAGGCCUACCAAGGCGAUGAUCUAUAGCUGGUCUGAGAGGAUGAUCAGCCACACUGGAACUGAGAUACGGUCCAGACUCCUACGGGAGGCAGCAGUGGGGAAUAUUGGACAAUGGGCGCAAGCC
RNAcentral lists this ribosomal RNA (255 nucleotides) under Anaplasma phagocytophilum. RNAcentral describes it as "partial 16S ribosomal RNA". It matches the Rfam family "Bacterial small subunit ribosomal RNA", at positions 111 to 383 of the family's 1533-position model. Lineage: Bacteria; Pseudomonadati; Pseudomonadota; Alphaproteobacteria; Rickettsiales; Anaplasmataceae. The record is from RNAcentral.